GUGGACAAGCACAAGUGCUUCUGAAGCAGAGUCAAGCAUCCAUUACCAGAGGGCACACUACCACUGCAUGGAUGAACUGCAUAGCCAAGGGCAUAUCUGACUUCCAGGGUGCAUAUAUACAUUGGUACCGACAUGAGCCUCCCAAAGCUCCGGAACACAUUCUGUGUGUUGGACCAACUUCACUUUAUUAUGACAGCAAUUCCAACAGGAACAUGCAUUUUUCUUUGAAGAAAGGUACCAAUGUCUGUGCUUUUGCAGUCAAUGACAUCACCUCCAACGAUGAAGGCACCUACUACUGUGCUUACUGGCUGUCCCACAGAACCAGCAGAUGA
This is a non-coding RNA of Acanthisitta chloris (rifleman), 332 nucleotides long. The record is from the annotation of a RefSeq genome assembly. Lineage: Eukaryota; Metazoa; Chordata; Aves; Passeriformes; Acanthisittidae.